Molecule: ribosomal RNA, 286 nt
Filed under: Stutzerimonas stutzeri
Lineage: Bacteria; Pseudomonadati; Pseudomonadota; Gammaproteobacteria; Pseudomonadales; Pseudomonadaceae
Description: partial 23S ribosomal RNA
Rfam family: Bacterial large subunit ribosomal RNA
Source: RNAcentral
GGUCAAGCGAAUAAGCGCACACGGUGGAUGCCUUGGCGGUCAGAGGCGAUGAAGGACGUGGCAGCCUGCGAAAAGUAUCGGGGAGCUGGCAACAAGCUUUGAUCCGGUAAUGUCCGAAUGGGGAAACCCACCCGCUUGCGGGUAUCCUGCAGUGAAUACAUAGCUGCUGGAAGCGAACCUGGUGAACUGAAAUAUCUAAGUAACCAGAGGAAAAGAAAUCAACCGAGAUUCCGUAAGUAGCGACGAGCGAACGCGGACUAGCCCUUAAGCUGAUUUGGUUCUAGGA